This is a long non-coding RNA of Gadus macrocephalus (Pacific cod), 283 nucleotides long. RefSeq lists it as uncharacterized. Lineage: Eukaryota; Metazoa; Chordata; Actinopteri; Gadiformes; Gadidae. The record is from RefSeq and is a predicted model, not a curated record. The transcript has 2 exons.
GAGAGACAGAAAGAGGUCGAGAGAGACAGAAAGAGGUCGAGAGAGAGACAGAAAGAGGUCGAAAGUAAGACAGAAAGAGGACGAGAGUAAGACAGAAAGAGGUCGGGAGUAAGACAGAAAGGGGUCGAGAGUAAGACAGAAAGGGGUCGAGAGUAAGACAGAAAGGGGUAGAGUGAGACUGAGAAGGUAGAGAGUGAGACACGAGUGUCGCGGACCAUCCCCCCCAGCUGCUACUGGAGCCAGCGAUCAGAACGCGUGAGACAGGAGGACAGCCAGCAGUGGA